RNAcentral lists this ribosomal RNA (448 nucleotides) under uncultured bacterium. RNAcentral's name for it is "bacterial SSU rRNA". It matches the Rfam family "Bacterial small subunit ribosomal RNA", at positions 330 to 792 of the family's 1533-position model. The record is from RNAcentral.
CCCAGACUCCUACGGGAGGCAGCAGUGGGGAAUAUUGCACAAUGGGGGAAACCCUGAUGCAGCGACGCCGCGUGAGUGAAGAAGUAUUUCGGUAUGUAAAGCUCUAUCAGCAGGGAAGAAAGAAAUGACGGUACCUGACUAAGAAGCCCCGGCUAACUACGUGCCAGCAGCCGCGGUAAUACGUAGGGGGCAAGCGUUAUCCGGAUUUACUGGGUGUAAAGGGAGCGUAGACGGCGAUGCAAGUCUGAAGUGAAAGGCGGGGGCCCAACCCCCGGACUGCUUUGGAAACUGUAUGGCUGGAGUGCAGGAGAGGUAAGUGGAAUUCCUAGUGUAGCGGUGAAAUGCGUAGAUAUCAGGAGGAACACCGGCGGCGAAGGCGGCCUGCUGGACCGUGACUGACGUUGAGGCUCGAGAGCGUGGGGAGCAAACAGGAUUAGAUACCCCGGUA